AUUUCUCUACUUCUUAUCAUCUUUUUUUGUUUUGUUUUAAGUGCUUUAAUUUAUAAACUGUUAGUAGAUUUUAACCCGCGGUAUACCGCGGGACGAUUUAUUUUUUAAAAGUAAUAUAUAUUAAAACUUGCAAAUUUUAUUUUUAUAAAAUAUUUAUAUUUUACAGUUUAUAAUUGUUAUUAAGUAACGGUAUACCACGAAUUCAUGAAAUAAUUGUUAAAAAACUGAAGUUUUAACCCCUAUUAAAACAGCAUAUUAAUAAUAUUUUAAAAUUUUAUAAAUAUUGAUUCAAAUACAUCCACCAUAUAACCCAAUUCCAAAAUAGAACUCGUUCUGUAAUUUUUUUUACCGUCACGUGAUUUUUUUAAAAAAUAGU
This 376-nucleotide small RNA is filed under the name Arabidopsis thaliana (thale cress). RNAcentral's name for it is "ATSL118070". Lineage: Eukaryota; Viridiplantae; Streptophyta; Magnoliopsida; Brassicales; Brassicaceae. The record is from RNAcentral.